CCAACAUCCAACGGCUUUUCCCAUUCAACCAACCAAGAUUCCCAAAAACCAUCGUUCAUAAGUGCAUUAAAAACUAGGGCUAGAGGGACGCGGUUCGGCCAAAGCCUACAUAAGUAACCAAAUAGGAAGUGGCCCCCCCAAUGUGAAUUAACCAAGCAGAGUCACUCCUACAACUGUUAGAAAGUGAUCACCCAAUGCGGAUUAACCAAGCAUGAUCACUCUUAAGCAUACAUGACCAUAAGGAUCGCCCAACGCGGAUUAACCAAGCGCGAUCCAUAU
Molecule: long non-coding RNA, 279 nt
Filed under: Malus domestica (apple)
Lineage: Eukaryota; Viridiplantae; Streptophyta; Magnoliopsida; Rosales; Rosaceae
Description: long non-coding RNA (MDOM_LNC017288)
Source: RNAcentral